UACAGGGGGGGCAAGCGUUGUUCGGAAUUACUGGGCGUAAAGGGCGCGUAGGCGGCCUUCUAAGUCAGACGUGAAAUCCCCCGGCUUAACCUGGGAACUGCGUCUGAUACUGGGAGGCUUGAGUAUGGGAGAGGGAUGUAGAAUUCCAGGUGUAGCGGUGAAAUGCGUAGAUAUCUGGAGGAAUACCGGUGGCGAAGGCGGCAUCCUGGACCAUAACUGACGCUGAGGCGCGAAAGCUAGGGGAGCAAACGGG
Molecule: ribosomal RNA, 253 nt
Filed under: uncultured bacterium
Lineage: Bacteria
Description: partial 16S ribosomal RNA
Rfam family: Bacterial small subunit ribosomal RNA
Source: RNAcentral